GACGAACGCUGGCGGCGUGCCUAAUACAUGCAAGUGGAACGCACAGUUUAUACCGUAGCUUGCUACACCAUAGACUGUGAGUUGCGAACGGGUGAGUAACGCGUAGGUAACCUGCCUGGUAGCGGGGGAUAACUAUUGGAAACGAUAGCUAAUACCGCAUAAUAUUAAUUAUUGCAUGAUAAUUAAUUGAAAGGUGCAAUUGCACCACUACCAGAUGGACCUGCGUUGUAUUAGCUAGUAGGUGAGGUAACGGCUCACCUAGGCGACGAUACAUAGCCGACCUGAGAGGGUGAUCGGCCACACUGGGACUGAGACACGGCCCAGACUCCUACGGGAGGCAGCAGUAGGGAAUCUUCGGCAAUGGACGAAAGUCUGACCGAGCAACGCCGCGUGAGUGAAGAAGGUUUUCGGAUCGUAAAGCUCUGUUGUAAGAGAAGAACGGGUGUGAGAGUGGAAAGUUCACACUGUGACGGUAUCUUACCAGAAAGGGACGGCUAACUACGUG
RNAcentral lists this ribosomal RNA (505 nucleotides) under uncultured bacterium. Its description in RNAcentral is "partial 16S ribosomal RNA". It matches the Rfam family "Bacterial small subunit ribosomal RNA", at positions 28 to 507 of the family's 1533-position model. The record is from RNAcentral.